Non-coding RNA from Phrynosoma platyrhinos (Desert horned lizard), 71 nucleotides. Lineage: Eukaryota; Metazoa; Chordata; Lepidosauria; Squamata; Phrynosomatidae. The record is from the annotation of a GenBank genome assembly.
GCCAGUGUGCUGCAGUGGUUUGAGUGUUGGACUAUGACUCUGGAGACCAGGGUUCGAUUUGCUGCUUGGCC